UUCCACUACUCACGUAGCCAUUCGCUAGAGACCACGGCUGCGUCCUCGCCGGGUGCCGGGGGGAGAGCAAUGAGGGGGGCCCUCCCCAGCAUUGGACUCUGUCCAUCUGGGGAGAGAUGGCGUCACAAGCAGCCAGGGACCAUACCGUGUGACACUGCUGUGGAGACUGGGUGAGCUCAGAGGAGGCCACGCCCUGGUGGCUGGGCCAGGGCGACGUGAUGCGUGAUGCUGUCUAGCUCCAGACCUUUCCCUGCAGGACUCACGCACACACACACACACACACGGGCCAGUCGCAGGGGCGCGUGUGAGUGGUCAGCAUCUGUGUGGCUUGGGCUUGGAGGACAGCACCCCCUCGCUCCCCAGCACCCCCGCGUCCCUCCUCCUCACCCUCGGGCACAGGUCAGGCUCCGCGGGCUGUGCUGCCCUCCCCGCUGCCCUGUGAUCGCAGCCGCCCUGAGCAGUGGCGGGGGGACCCGCCCUGCCACGCAGCCUCGUCUCUGCUCGCAGCCGUGGCCCUGGGCGCGGGCCUCGCCAUCCUGCCGCCAGCUGCUAGAAAGCCCCGGAGCCAAGCGGUUUGCCUUAGCACAGCUCGUUGUGGAGCAGCUGCAACUGGCCAGGGUGUGUGGAUUCCAAACGGAAUCCAAACGGAUUACUCGUCUCCCCUGCAGCUGCCCUGCCCUGGCCCUCCCUCUGGGCAGCGGCUCCCCUAGCGAUGGCUCAGCCUCCUUCCAGAAAGUUCAGUGGCUUGCAAUUAGGAAGAACUCGGCUCCGUUCGUGUAAAAAUGUCAAUCUCACAUCUAUUUAAAGCUUUUCUUCCCUUUCCCCUCAGAACAGAGUCAUACUUGGACUGUUCUGCGUUGGCCCGCAUCCUCGAUGGCAGCCGAGGGCGCGUCUCAUCGCAGAACGCUCCGUCGCCCCCGUUCGCGCAGGUGGGCUUGGAAUUCCGCAGCCUCCCCGGUGGGCCACACCCUCAUCCGUCUUAUCUAUCGGUGUAUCUGCCGGACGGACAUCACUGCUCGAGCAGAACCCUCGCAUCAAGCCCAGGAACCGUGGUUCUGACGGCCCAGGGCCGGACGUCCCGGCCGCUGCUUGAUCAUGGAGGACACCCCAGCGGGCACAUCUUUCUGAACCGGGGCAAGUCGCCUUUGUGGGCUCACUUCGCUCGUCCGUCACCACGAAGGACCCUGGUGAUUAUUCUAGGACGUGGGUUGCUAUGGUGACGGGAAAGGGGGACUUCAGGCAGAGCUGACUUCCCCCCCGUCUCCCCUGCCUUCCCCCUCUCCCUCAGCCCCCUCUGCGAUGGUGCGCCUGCCCUAGAGAGCCCUCUUCUGUCUUCCUGUCCCCUGCGCCGUGGCUCCGGUCCCGGGGGUUCUGCAGGGUCCAGGUGUGGACACCCGCUCGGGGAGCCUCCCGAACCAGCCCUGCGUGACGGCUAUUUUUCCGGCCUCUUCUGCAAACAUUGCUGAUCCUGGUGAUUUGCAGAGUGCUGUGUACGCGAGUCACUUCCAAUCUGUUCCUUGGUGGCAGGACGGGCCCUCUGGCAGCUUCUGCCUCCCCGCCUGGUCUUCUGUCUGCUGCCCUCCCCGUGGCCCACGUUCCUGCCAGCUCUGGGACCUGCGGGGGCCCCUGGAUGUCCUGCGGGAUUGCCAUGGCAACGAGAGCUUGUCUCAGCCCUUAAGGUGGUGUCUUCAUUAAGCUCCUCUUGGAAAGAGCUUGGGCUGGAGUCUGCAAGCUGCAUAUUGAAUCAAGUCCUCUAGUGUCAAAGUGUGUCUCCGGGUGAGACUCCAAAUCGAAAUAUCCUCAGAACUUCUAACAAGUUGGAUAUCAUUUUGUAUUCAAUUUAUCAUUUUUUAAUGGUCUGUGAUUUUUGUUUGUCCUGUUUAAGAAAUAUCACUGCUAUGAGAUUACAAAGAUAUUCUCACAUUUCCCUUUAGGAGCUGAACGGUGUCCUUUUUUUUUUUUUUUUAAUUGAAAUAUAUUUGACGGGUAACAUUGUGCAAGUUCAAGGUGUUGAUGUUGAGCUCCGGGAGCAAAAUUGGCCAUCCCAAAAUGCAUCUCUUUGGCUUGUGGAUUAUUUGGGGCUAAUUAUUUUUGAGAAAGAGAAGACUCAGGAAGGUUUUCUUUUUCGUCUCCCGCCUAAAUGCCUGAAAGAAUUUACGCAGAGGACCUGCUCCAGGAAGGGAGCUCUCACCCCAGCCAACUAUGGGAGCACGUGAACUAGGUGUGGCCGACAGGGACGAGCCCAGCAAGGCCCGUUUGAUCGAAGUCCUCUCUCAGUCGUAUUGUUUCUGGAUGGCCCAGCACAUGUUUGUUCACCAAACAUUUUCUCUUUCCAUUUCUCCUGUGAAUUGCCUUCCUUGCCUUUGAAGCUCACACCCAUAGUUCGGGAUGACCCGUAUACCUCCUUUUGCCCAGAUGUCUUUGGAACCUCUCAUUUUGAUGUGGAUUCCCCAUAGGUACAUAAUUAAAUUUUAUUUUCUCCUGUUAAUCCGUCUCAUGUCAAUUUCAUUCUUAGACCACACAAAAGAACCUUGAAAGUAGAGGCAAAUAUUUCCUCCCCGACACCGACUUGAUACGUUUACGUAUUGCAAUAAGACUGGCAUUGUAAAACUGGCAGAUGUCUCUAGCCUGUCGCGAGUACCAUUCUUUUUUGUGGUGGGAAUAAUUAAGGUCUGGUUUUGACUGAAGUAUAACAUUUAUGCGGCCAUUAAAGUAUUAAAGUGCACUAAUCUUAA
Long non-coding RNA from Leopardus geoffroyi (Geoffroy's cat), 2735 nucleotides. RefSeq lists it as uncharacterized. The transcript is spliced from 2 exons. The record is from RefSeq and is a predicted model, not a curated record. Lineage: Eukaryota; Metazoa; Chordata; Mammalia; Carnivora; Felidae.